RNAcentral lists this transfer RNA (77 nucleotides) under Mucilaginibacter pedocola. RNAcentral describes it as "tRNA-Pro". It matches the Rfam family "tRNA". From Rfam's summary of the family: Transfer RNA (tRNA) molecules are approximately 80 nucleotides in length. Their secondary structure includes four short double-helical elements and three loops (D, anti-codon, and T loops). The record is from RNAcentral. Lineage: Bacteria; Pseudomonadati; Bacteroidota; Sphingobacteriia; Sphingobacteriales; Sphingobacteriaceae.
CGGGAUGUAGCGUAGCCCGGUAUCGCGCCAGCAUGGGGUGCUGGAGGUCGGAAGUUCGAAUCUUCUCAUCCCGACGA